RNAcentral lists this ribosomal RNA (686 nucleotides) under uncultured bacterium. Its description in RNAcentral is "bacterial SSU rRNA". It matches the Rfam family "Bacterial small subunit ribosomal RNA", at positions 60 to 747 of the family's 1533-position model. The record is from RNAcentral.
AGUAAGAGACGGGAAGGGGCAGUUUACUGCAACGGAACAAUUUUUACUUUAGUGGCGGACGGGUGAGUAACGCGUGGGUAACCUGCCUUAUACAGGGGGAUAACACUUAGAAAUAGGUGCUAAGACCGCAUAAGCGCCCAGGGCCGCAUGGCCCAGGGUGAAAAACUCCGGUGGUAUAAGAUGGGCCCGCGUCUGAUUAGCCAGUUGGCAGGGUAACGGCCUACCAAAGCGACGAUCAGUAGCCGGCCUGAGAGGGUGGACGGCCACAUUGGGACUGAGACACGGCCCAAACUCCUACGGGAGGCAGCAGUGGGGGAUAUUGCACAAUGGGGGAAACCCUGAUGCAGCGACGCCGCGUGAGUGAAGAAGUAUUUCGGUAUGUAAAGCUCUAUCAGCAGGGAAGAAAGAAGACGGUACCUGAGUAAGAAGCCCCGGCUAACUACGUGCCAGCAGCCGCGGUAAUACGUAGGGGGCAAGCGUUAUCCGGAUUUACUGGGUGUAAAGGGAGCGUAGACGGCAAGGCAAGCCUGGAGUGAAAGGCGGGGGCCCAACCCCCGGACUGCUCUGGGAACUGUCUAGCUAGAGUGCAGGAGGGGUAAGUGGAAUUCCUAGUGUAGCGGUGAAAUGCGUAGAUAUUAGGAGGAACACCAGUGGCGAAGGCGGCUUACUGGACUGUAACUGACGUU